Molecule: ribosomal RNA, 253 nt
Filed under: uncultured bacterium
Lineage: Bacteria
Description: partial 16S ribosomal RNA
Rfam family: Bacterial small subunit ribosomal RNA
Source: RNAcentral
UACGGAGGGGGCUAGCGUUGUUCGGAAUUACUGGGCGUAAAGCGCACGUAGGCGGCUUUGUAAGUCAGAGGUGAAAGCCCGGGGCUCAACUCCGGAAUUGCCUUUGAGACUGCAUCGCUUGAAUCCAGGAGAGGUGAGUGGAAUUCCGAGUGUAGAGGUGAAAUUCGUAGAUAUUCGGAAGAACACCAGUGGCGAAGGCGGCUCACUGGACUGGUAUUGACGCUGAGGUGCGAAAGCGUGGGGAGCAAACAGG